Non-coding RNA from Pseudomonas sp. GM78, 101 nucleotides. Lineage: Bacteria; Pseudomonadati; Pseudomonadota; Gammaproteobacteria; Pseudomonadales; Pseudomonadaceae. The record is from Rfam.
GCAAUGGCUGACUAGGGUUCCGGCUCGCAAGCGCGAGUGACUGGUCCGAGAGUUGGCGACCUCCAGUUGAGGUUACACGGCGGGACAAAAGCCCGGGAGAC